AUUGAACGCUGGCGGCAGGCCUAACACAUGCAAGUCGAGCGGAGGAAGGGAGCUUGCUCCUGCAUUCAGCGGCGGACGGGUGAGUAAUGCCUAGGAAUCUGCCUGGUAGUGGGGGAUAACGUCCGGAAACGGGCGCUAAUACCGGAUACGUCCUGAGGGCGUAAGUGGGGGAUCUUCGGACCUCACGCUAUCAGAUGAGCCUAGGUCGGAUUAGCUAGUUGGUGGGGUAAAGGCCUACCAAGGCGACGAUCCGUAACUGGUGUGAAAGGAUGAUCAGUCACACUGGAACUGAGACACGGUCCCGACUCCUACGGGAGGCAGCAGUGGGGAAUAUUGGACAAUGGGCGAAAGCCUGAUCCAGCCAUGCCGCGUGUGUGAAGAAGGUCUUCGGAUUGUAAAGCACUUUAAGUUGGGGGGAAGGGCAGUAAGUUAAUACCUUGCUGUUUUGACGUUACCAACAGAAUAAGCACCGGCUAACUUCGUG
This 484-nucleotide ribosomal RNA is filed under the name uncultured bacterium. RNAcentral's name for it is "partial 16S ribosomal RNA". It matches the Rfam family "Bacterial small subunit ribosomal RNA", at positions 30 to 507 of the family's 1533-position model. The record is from RNAcentral.